RNAcentral lists this ribosomal RNA (421 nucleotides) under uncultured archaeon. Its description in RNAcentral is "partial 16S ribosomal RNA". It matches the Rfam family "Archaeal small subunit ribosomal RNA", at positions 323 to 746 of the family's 1478-position model. The record is from RNAcentral.
CUACGGGUUGCACCAGUUAGGAAUAAUCUACAAUGCGCGAAAGCGUGAUAGUUUGAGCCAGAGUGUUUUUCAAAUGAAAAACUUUUGCCAAGUGUAAAAAGCUUGGCGAAUAAGGACUGGGUAAGACGAGUGCCAGCCGCCGCGGUAAUACUCGCGGUCCAAGUCGCAGGCAUUUUUAUUGGGUCUAAAACAUCCGUAGCUUGCUUGAUAAGUUUCUUGUGAAAUCCUAUAUCUCAAAUAUAGGGCGCGCAAGAAGUACUGUCUCGCUAGAGACUGGAAGACGUAAGAAGUACGUUUGGAGUAGCGGUAAAAUGUGUUAAUCCUAGACGGACUCACGAGAGCGAAGGCAUCUUACGAGGACAGUUCUGACAGUAAGGGAUGAAAGCUAGGGGCGCAAAACGGAUUAGAUACCCCAGUAGUC